UGCCAUACCAAUUGGUAAGUCGCUCUGGAUAAGGGCGUCUGCUAAAUGACGUAAA
Molecule: non-coding RNA, 55 nt
Organism: Salmo salar (Atlantic salmon)
Lineage: Eukaryota; Metazoa; Chordata; Actinopteri; Salmoniformes; Salmonidae
Source: Rfam